This 428-nucleotide small RNA is filed under the name Histoplasma capsulatum. RNAcentral's name for it is "hypothetical RNA". The record is from RNAcentral. Lineage: Eukaryota; Fungi; Ascomycota; Eurotiomycetes; Onygenales; Ajellomycetaceae. RNAcentral also lists the same sequence under 1 other name.
UGCCAAGGCAUAUAUCAUUCUCGAGGCAGAGGCAGGGUAGGAUCACUGUUUCUCGUUUAUUCUUGAUUAUUCGUUCCUGAUCUUUGAUUGAUGAGGUUUGCCUACUUAUUGCGCAAAGCCAAUCUAAACGCUGGUCUUUCCAAACCAUGGGAACGAUAAUCGUAGUGCUAGUUAACUUUGGCCCUCGCAGCAUUCAUUCUGUCCGGAUUGAAUUGCAAUGCCCAUUUUUUGCCUUAUUUUAUGACAACAAUGUUUAGAGUCUUGCUCAUCACCCACUGAUUCAAGUUAAAAAACUAGGGGAAGCGGAAAUCUGUUUCUGCUGAUAUCCUGAAACGUGCAGCUGCCAUGGGUCAGAGCUUGGUCGUGCCCGGUGCAAGCCCGACAGUUGCCGCUCGCCUGAGUUGGGUUGUUGGCUCAUGAAAUGAGAU